AUGAAUAGCUAACUGAAAUCNUAGAAUUUUUUAAAAUUCNUGAUGUCGUAAGGGAAAAUAAUGAUAAUACCUUACUAUGAGUGUCGCCCAAAUCUAGUGCCAGAAGACUCGGUAAGACCAGAGACGCAAACGUUAAUCAUCUUAAACAGGCGUAAAGGGUUUGUAGGCAGCUUUCAUAAGAAUAUGAAUUCAAAAUAAAGUAAUCUAAUUGAAAGCUAGAAUCAAAAAGAGGUUAUAGUGUAUAACGCCUAGAGGAGGGCUGAUAUCCUUAGAUCCUAGGCAGAAUACUCAGGGCGAAGGCCACUCUCCACUAAUGAUUGACGCUGAGAAACGAAGGUUAGGGUAGGAAAUAGGAUUAGAUACCCCGGUACUCCUUUCUGUAAACGAUGAAUGGUAGUCAUUAGUUUAUAUACAUAACUAGAGNCGAAGUUAACACAAUAACCAUUCCGCCUUGUGAGUACUACUGCAAAGUAGAAAANNAAAAAAUUAGUCGG
RNAcentral lists this ribosomal RNA (494 nucleotides) under Perenniporia medulla-panis. Its description in RNAcentral is "SSU rRNA". It matches the Rfam family "Bacterial small subunit ribosomal RNA", at positions 408 to 916 of the family's 1533-position model. Lineage: Eukaryota; Fungi; Basidiomycota; Agaricomycetes; Polyporales; Polyporaceae. The record is from RNAcentral.